This 330-nucleotide unclassified non-coding RNA is filed under the name Mortierella sp. Its description in RNAcentral is "partial contains 5.8S ribosomal RNA, internal transcribed spacer 2, and large subunit ribosomal RNA". Lineage: Eukaryota; Fungi; Mortierellomycota; Mortierellomycetes; Mortierellales; Mortierellaceae. RNAcentral also lists the same sequence under 1 other name. The record is from RNAcentral.
AACGCACAUUGCGCUCUCUGGUAUUCCGGAGAGCAUGCUUGUUUGAGUAUCAGUAAAACACCCUCAACCUUUUCUUUAUUGAAAAGGUUGGACUUGAGUGAUCCCAACGGUUUUUUUUUAAAAGGCUGGCGGGUUGCUUGAAAUGCAGGUGCGGCUGGACACAUCUUCUGAGCUAUAAGCAUUACCUAUUUAGUCCCGUCAAACGGAUUAUUUCUAUUGCUACAGCUAAUAUAAAGGUUGAUUGUCCUGUGCCCGACUGAUGCAGGAAAACAUGGAGAAAUCCUUGUUCAACUCGAUCUCAAAUCAAGUAAGACUACCCGCUGAACUUAA